UACGAAGGGGGCUAGCGUUGUUUGGAAUCACUGGGCGUAAAGGGUACGUAGGCGGCUGGUCAAGUCUGGGGUCAAAGGCCACAGCUCAACUGUGGGAAGGCCCUGGAAACUGACCGGCUAGAGUGAGGUAGGGGUUGCGGGAAUUCCCGGUGUAGCGGUGAAAUGCGUAGAGAUCGGGAAGAACACCUGAGGCGGAAGCGCGCAACUGGGCCUCAACUGACGCUGAGGUACCAAAGCUAGGGGAGCGAAUGGG
This 253-nucleotide ribosomal RNA is filed under the name uncultured bacterium. RNAcentral's name for it is "partial 16S ribosomal RNA". It matches the Rfam family "Bacterial small subunit ribosomal RNA", at positions 524 to 776 of the family's 1533-position model. The record is from RNAcentral.